RNAcentral lists this ribosomal RNA (497 nucleotides) under uncultured bacterium. Its description in RNAcentral is "partial 16S ribosomal RNA". It matches the Rfam family "Bacterial small subunit ribosomal RNA", at positions 28 to 507 of the family's 1533-position model. The record is from RNAcentral.
GAUGAACGCUGGCGGCGUGCCUAAUACAUGCGAGUCGAGCGAACAGACGAGGAGCUUGCUCCUCUGACGUUAGCGGCGGACGGGUGGGUAACACGUGGAUAACCUACCUAUAAGACUGGGGUAACUUCGGGAAACCGGAGCUAAUACCGGAUAAUAUAUUGAACCGCAUGGUUCAAUAGUGAAAGACGGUUUUGCUGUCACUUAUAGAUGGAUCCGCGCCGCAUUAGCUAGUUGGUAAGGUAACGGCUUACCAAGGCAACGAUGCGUAGCCGACCUGAGAGGGUGAUCGGCCACACUGGAACUGAGACACGGUCCAGACUCCUACGGGAGGCAGCAGUAGGGAAUCUUCCGCAAUGGGCGAAAGCCUGACGGAGCAACGCCGCGUGAGUGAUGAAGGUCUUCGGAUCGUAAAACUCUGUUAUUAGGGAAGAACAAAUGUGUAAGUAACUAUGCACGUCUUGACGGUACCUAAUCAGAAAGCCACGGCUAACUACGUG